This 101-nucleotide small RNA is filed under the name Pseudomonas aeruginosa PAO1. RNAcentral's name for it is "Pseudomonas sRNA P33". It matches the Rfam family "Pseudomonas sRNA P33". The record is from Rfam by way of RNAcentral. Lineage: Bacteria; Pseudomonadati; Pseudomonadota; Gammaproteobacteria; Pseudomonadales; Pseudomonadaceae.
CCGCCCGGAACCACCGGUCAAAUCGUAGCGUAGGGCGAAUAACCGCAUCGCGGUUAUCCGCCGAUUGUGCAGGGCCGCGGCGGAUAACGCCUAUGGCGUUA